Long non-coding RNA from Lagopus leucura (white-tailed ptarmigan), 1457 nucleotides. RefSeq lists it as uncharacterized. The record is from RefSeq and is a predicted model, not a curated record. The transcript has 2 exons. Lineage: Eukaryota; Metazoa; Chordata; Aves; Galliformes; Phasianidae.
AUAUUCAGUCUCUCGUCCAUCAGGACCCCCAGGUCCUUCUCUGCCGAGCUGCUCUCAAGGACCACUGCUCCCACAAACACCCUGCUCUCCCAAGAGCACCUGUAUUUAUUCUGCUUCCGAAAUGUAUUGGUUAAAAGAAGCGUUUGAGAAACAACUUGUGGGCUCUUGAGUUUUUGGGCAGAAAGUGGCAUUUGUGAAAGAUGGCUUAUUAUUUGAAUGUGUAAUAUGAGGGAUGAUGAUUAUUAUAAUGGGAUGUGGUCAUGCUUGCCCUGUUCACGUUUGUCUGCUAGGAAUUAAGGUAUUGUUUGGUAAACUCUCUUUUUGGGAGAGGACAAAACUGAGGGAGCCUUGCAGUUCUGAUUCAGUCUUGUAGUUCUUGUGUAGUGAGCCCGUUUUAUCCUAUGCUGUUUUUAAAUUGUUCAGCUAAGCUUAGGGUUGUACUGAAGUAGGAGUAAUAAAUAACUUUGGAUGCACAGUUCUCAACAGGUACAUCUGUGAAACUUGAAUUCUGCUGCAGUUGGCAGAAGAGGAAGAAGCACAUGCAGCAUCACUUGAUUCAAAUACGCCUCAAAAUAACAGAAAAUUGUAACAUUCCCUCCAUCUCGCCUUCGCAGAUACGUUUGUUCAGCAUUUUCAGGAAGGCAAAAGCCAACAGACUUAACCUUCUGAAUACAGGCAAAAGCAAAUGGAAUCAGUGACUCUUCACAGACUCAUUUCAGAUUCAUCUCCAUUGUUUGAGAAAAAUCUAGAGAUAACCAGCCUACAAAUGGUAAAGCCAGCAACUCUGGAAAGAGGAGCUCCUAGCCUGUCUGCAGAGCAAUAGAAACAGCCCAUCUGCCAACACUGCAGGGAAUGGUGGGGCUGAAGAUCUCAUUAAUUCUGUUCCUUAAGAGGGAUUAAUGUGAAGAACGAUCAAAUACAGACUGUCUAAAGAAAAUAGUACCAAAUCAAACAAAAGGCUAAUGACUUCCCACAGAAAGCCUUUUACUGCCAAGAUGGGAGUGACCCUGAGUCUCAAACUCCCAAUAUCAGCAUAGUGAAAAUUAACACGCGAGUGAAAUUGUUUCAAAAUAUUCUGAAAAAAAUAGAUCUACUACAAAGGAGACACGAUGAAGCAAUAAUUUUCACUUAGAAAAAGUUCAACUUGGUGUUAUUUGGGAUUCCUACCAAGGAACUGCUUUAAUUAAAGCUUGCGUUGGAGUGUGUUUGCAGCAGAAGACUUACUAAGAAGACUUAAUACAAGCAUCAGAGGAUUUCCCCUAAGAAAGGAGAAGCAAAGCUUUUGGUUGGUUUUGAGAUGUCUGUCUCAAACACCUCCACACUUAAAAUCCCAGAUAUCAUUUGGUGCAUUCUUAUACUAGUCAAAAUUAGUUUUAAAGGAUCACUAUCGACGUGAACAUUUUCUAAAUGACAAAAGCAGGAUCCUGUACGAUCGAAAUAAAAGAACAGAGGUUUAA